Molecule: non-coding RNA, 384 nt
Organism: Lolium perenne
Lineage: Eukaryota; Viridiplantae; Streptophyta; Magnoliopsida; Poales; Poaceae
Source: RefSeq, a predicted model, not a curated record
AGUGUCAUGCUGCUGGUGUCUGGUGGGGAACACGGCACCGUUCUUGAAAGUGGAGGCCAAUGCACAUUAUAUUGUGGUGUAAUCAAGGUUAAGAGGAUUUGAACGAAUUCUAUGCCAAUAGAAUAUAGAAGAAGCUUCACUAUUAGAGCGACAAGGAGGUGUCACAUUCUUAUCAUCCUUGCCUAGAAGAGAUUUGGGCAAAAAUAUGGCACUCUAUUUUGGGACUUCUGGUUUCCAUCAAGUUUAAGAGCUCAAUCGAUCCUCCAGGUCAGGUAGAUCGACUCAUCUUUUUUAGCUUAGUGAUUAUAUUUGUUUUGGAAAUUAUAUCUUAAUUAAGCAUUGAACAUUUUUGUGGCAGAACAUUUUAAACAUAGAUGGAGAAAC